UUCUUAUCCAGAGAGGUGGAGGGACUGGCCCUGCGAAACCUCAGCAACCGGCAGAACGCUCUAGGCGUGCCAAGGUGCUAAAUCCAGCAAGCGAGCUUGGGAGAUGAGAA
Molecule: non-coding RNA, 110 nt
Filed under: Bacillus sp. (in: firmicutes)
Lineage: Bacteria; Bacillati; Bacillota; Bacilli; Caryophanales; Bacillaceae
Also listed under: 1 other name
Description: Bacillus sp. SAM-I sequence
Rfam family: SAM riboswitch aptamer (S box leader)
About the family: The SAM riboswitch is found upstream of a number of genes which code for proteins involved in methionine or cysteine biosynthesis in Gram-positive bacteria.
Source: RNAcentral